AUGCUCGGCCCCUCCUCCGCGGCCGGCGCUCUCCCAGCAUGUGGUCGACACCCAUCCUCCUCCGCGACCAGCGCCCUCGCUCCCCGCGGCUGGCGCGCUCCUUCCCUGCGGCUGACGGGCCUCCAGCUCCGUGGCCGGCGCGGUCCCUCCUCGCUGCAGCUUGCCCCUCCUCCAUGGAUGGCCUGCACCGGCUGCCGGAACUCGUUGAGGUGGUACCCUUCAUCCUCGACCUUCAAUUACAGGUUACCAACGACGCUACAAAGAGAAAGCGUAUUGCUGCUGGAGCUGGUGUCCGUGCAAGAGUCUGCUUCAGGGACUCCUUCCUCGUUGACACCGGCGGAGGCGCUCACGAAACUGGCGCUGCAGUGCAUGACCAAUGACCGUGCGGCUCCUAACAUGUCUUCAGUUGCCGCCAAGGUCUACAAUCUCUUCCUAGAGGUGUAG
Molecule: ribosomal RNA, 444 nt
Filed under: Triticum aestivum (bread wheat)
Lineage: Eukaryota; Viridiplantae; Streptophyta; Magnoliopsida; Poales; Poaceae
Description: partial small subunit ribosomal RNA
Source: RNAcentral